AUGGAAUGAAAAAAAAACCAAAACAAAAAAGAAGGGAACCAGCAACGCCAUGUCCCAUUUUGGUGUUUCCACGAUAUUUGAGCCUUGUUUUCUUU
RNAcentral lists this non-coding RNA (95 nucleotides) under Eutreptiella gymnastica. The record is from RNAcentral. Lineage: Eukaryota; Euglenozoa; Euglenophyceae; Eutreptiales; Eutreptiaceae.